This 489-nucleotide ribosomal RNA is filed under the name uncultured bacterium. RNAcentral describes it as "bacterial SSU rRNA". It matches the Rfam family "Bacterial small subunit ribosomal RNA", at positions 28 to 530 of the family's 1533-position model. The record is from RNAcentral.
GACGAACGCUGGCGGCGUGCUUAACACAUGCAAGUCGAACGGUAAGGCCCCUUCGGGGGUACACGAGUGGCGAACGGGUGAGUAACACGUGGGUAAUCUGCCCUGCACUUCGGGAUAAGCCUGGGAAACUGGGUCUAAUACCGGAUAUGAGCUCCUGCCGCAUGGUGGGGGUUGGAAAGUUUUUCGGUGCAGGAUGAGCCCGCGGCCUAUCAGCUUGUUGGUGGGGUAAUGGCCUACCAAGGCGACGACGGGUAGCCGGCCUGAGAGGGUGAUCGGCCACACUGGGACUGAGACACGGCCCAGACUCCUACGGGAGGCAGCAGUGGGGAAUAUUGCACAAUGGGCGAAAGCCUGAUGCAGCGACGCCGCGUGGGGGAUGACGGUCUUCGGAUUGUAAACCCCUUUCAGUAGGGACGAAGCGCAAGUGACGGUACCUGCAGAAGAAGCACCGGCCAACUACGUGCCAGCAGCCGCGGUAAAGUCACAUGU